RNAcentral lists this ribosomal RNA (489 nucleotides) under Pilumnus savignyi. RNAcentral's name for it is "partial 16S ribosomal RNA". The record is from RNAcentral. Lineage: Eukaryota; Metazoa; Arthropoda; Malacostraca; Decapoda; Pilumnidae.
CUCACUGAUAAAAUUAAAGAGCCGCGGUAUAUUGACCGUGCAAAGGUAGCAUAAUCAUUAGUUUUUUAAUUGGAAACUUGUAUGAAUGGUUGGACAAAAGAAAAGCUGUCUUUAUAAUAAAUAUUGAAUUUAACUUUUAAGUGAAAAGGCUUAAAUAAUUUAAAGGGACGAUAAGACCCUAUAAAACUUUAUAUAGUAGUUAAAUUUAAGUGAAUUUUAAAAGUUUAAUUUAAUGUAAUAUUUUAUUGGGGCGAUAAAAGUAUAAAUUAUAGUAACUGCUUGAAAAAUAAACAAUAAUGUUUGGAUGAGAAUAAAUGAUCCUUUUUAAAGAAUAAAAGACUAAGUUACUUUAGGGAUAACAGCGUAAUUUCUUUUGAGAGCUCAUAUCGAAAAAGAAGAUUGCGACCUCGAUGUUGAAUUAAAAUGUCUGUUUAGGGCAGCCCUUAAAUAAGAAGAUCUGUUCGAUCUUUAAAAUUKUACAUGAUUUGA